AUCCUUUUAUAGCUCCUAUUUGAUGAUUGGGUUUUCAUGUAGAUGAAUGACCAGUCCCUUUCUCAAACCGUCUUAUCAUUUUGGCAUAUUACCUGCCUGACA
This is a small nucleolar RNA of Otolemur garnettii (small-eared galago), 102 nucleotides long. The record is from Ensembl. Lineage: Eukaryota; Metazoa; Chordata; Mammalia; Primates; Galagidae.